RNAcentral lists this ribosomal RNA (397 nucleotides) under uncultured bacterium. Its description in RNAcentral is "partial 16S ribosomal RNA". It matches the Rfam family "Bacterial small subunit ribosomal RNA", at positions 523 to 918 of the family's 1533-position model. The record is from RNAcentral.
AUACGUAGGGGGCGAGCGUUGUCCGGAAUGACUGGGCGUAAAGGGCGUGUAGGCGGCGGUGUAAGCCUGGAGUGAAAGUCCCGCAUUCAAUGUGGGAAUUGCUUUGGAUACUGCAGUGCUAGAGUGCGGAAGAGGGAAGUGGAAUUCCCAGUGUAGCGGUGAAAUGCGUAGAGAUUGGGAGGAACACCAGUGGCGAAGGCGACUUACUGGGCCGUAACUGACGCUGAGGCGCGAAAGCGUGGGGAGCGAACAGGAUUAGAUACCCUGGUAGUCCACGCGGUAAACGAUGAAUGCUAGGUGUUGCGGGUAUCGACCCCUGCAGUGCCGGAGUAAACACAAUAAGCAUUCCGCCUGGGGAGUACGGCCGCAAGGUUGAAACUCAAAUGAAUUGGCGGGG